Molecule: ribosomal RNA, 479 nt
Filed under: uncultured bacterium
Lineage: Bacteria
Description: partial 16S ribosomal RNA
Rfam family: Bacterial small subunit ribosomal RNA
Source: RNAcentral
UGGGGAAUUUUGGACAAUGGGCGAAAGCCUGAUCCAGCAAUGCCGCGUGUGUGAAGAAGGCCUUCGGGUUGUAAAGCACUUUUGUCCGGAAAGAAAUCCUUGGCUCUAAUACAGUCGGGGGAUGACGGUACCGGAAGAAUAAGCACCGGCUAACUACGUGCCAGCAGCCGCGGUAAUACGUAGGGUGCAAGCGUUAAUCGGAAUUACUGGGCGUAAAGCGUGCGCAGGCGGUUUGCUAAGACCGAUGUGAAAUCCCCGGGCUCAACCUGGGGAACUGCAUUGGUGACUGGCAGGCUAGAGUAUGGCAGAGGGGGGUAGAAUUCCACGUGUAGCAGUGAAAUGCGUAGAGAUGUGGAGGAAUACCGAUGGCGAAGGCAGCCCCCUGGGCCAAUACUGACGCUCAUGCACGAAAAGCGUGGGGAGCAAACAGGAUUAGAUACCCUGGUAGUCCACGCCCUAAACGAUGUCAACUAGUUGUU